AACGCACAUUGCGCCCAUUAGUAUUCUAGUGGGCAUGCCUGUUCGAGCGUCAUUUCAACUAUCAAGCCCUAUUUGCUUGGCGUUGGGAGCUUGCCCUACCCUGUAGGACAACUCCUCAAAUAUAUUGGCGGAGUCGCGAAGACCCCAAGCGUAGUAAUCUUUUCUCGCUUCAGGUGUGUCUGCGCUGGCAUCCAGCCAUUAAACCCCUAAUUUUUUUAGUCUUGACCUCGGAUCAGGUAGGAAUACCCGCUGAACUUAA
RNAcentral lists this unclassified non-coding RNA (259 nucleotides) under uncultured Xylariales. Its description in RNAcentral is "sequence contains 5.8S rRNA gene, ITS2, 28S rRNA gene". The record is from RNAcentral. Lineage: Eukaryota; Fungi; Ascomycota; Sordariomycetes; Xylariales.